Molecule: transfer RNA, 72 nt
Filed under: Myotis brandtii (Brandt's bat)
Lineage: Eukaryota; Metazoa; Chordata; Mammalia; Chiroptera; Vespertilionidae
Rfam family: tRNA
About the family: Transfer RNA (tRNA) molecules are approximately 80 nucleotides in length. Their secondary structure includes four short double-helical elements and three loops (D, anti-codon, and T loops).
Source: Rfam by way of RNAcentral
GCCGGUGUGGCUCAGUUGGUUGAGUGUCAGCCUGUGCACCUAAAGGUCACCGGUUCAAUUCCGGUCAGGGCA